RNAcentral lists this ribosomal RNA (253 nucleotides) under uncultured bacterium. Its description in RNAcentral is "partial 16S ribosomal RNA". It matches the Rfam family "Bacterial small subunit ribosomal RNA", at positions 524 to 776 of the family's 1533-position model. The record is from RNAcentral.
UACGAAGGGGGCUAGCGUUGUUCGGAUUUACUGGGCGUAAAGCGCGUGUAGGCGGGUCGUUAAGUUGGGGGUGAAAGCCCGGAGCUCAACUCCGGAACUGCCUUCAAAACUGGCGACCUGGAGCAUGUCAGAGGCGAGUGGAAUUGCGAGUGUAGAGGUGAAAUUCGUAGAUAUUCGCAGGAACACCAGUGGCGAAGGAGACUCGCGGGGGCAUUGCUGACGAUGAGACGCGAAAGCGUGGGGAGCAAACAGG